GAUGAACGCUGGCGGCGUGCCUAAUACAUGCAAGUCGAGCGAACGGACGAGAAGCUUGCUUCUCUGAUGUUAGCGGCGGACGGGUGAGUAACACGUGGAUAACCUACCUAUAAGACUGUGAUAACUUCGGGAAACCGGAGCUAAUACCGGAUAAUAUUUUGAACCGCAUGGUUCAAAAGUGAAAGACGGUCUUGCUGUCACUUAUAGAUGGAUCCGCGCUGCAUUAGCUAGUUGGUAAGGUAACGGCUUACCAAGGCAACGAUGCAUAGCCGACCUGAGAGGGUGAACGGCCACACUGGAACUGAGACACGGUCCAGACUCCUACGGGAGGCAGCAGUAGGGAAUCUUCCGCAAUGGGCGAAAGCCUGACGGAGCAAAGCCGCGUGAGUGAUGAAGGUCUUAGGAUCGUAAAACUCUGUUAUUAGGGAAGAACAUAUGUGUAAGUAACUGUGAACAUCUUGACGGUACCUAAUCAGAAAGCCACGGCUAACUACGUG
RNAcentral lists this ribosomal RNA (497 nucleotides) under uncultured bacterium. RNAcentral describes it as "partial 16S ribosomal RNA". It matches the Rfam family "Bacterial small subunit ribosomal RNA", at positions 28 to 507 of the family's 1533-position model. The record is from RNAcentral.